Long non-coding RNA from Gopherus evgoodei (Goodes thornscrub tortoise), 102 nucleotides. RefSeq lists it as uncharacterized. NCBI's taxonomy places the organism in Eukaryota, Metazoa, Chordata, Testudines, Testudinidae. The transcript has 3 exons. The record is from RefSeq and is a predicted model, not a curated record.
GGGGGAUCGUGAGCUGUCAACUUCCACCCCAAACGCCACUUUGCCUCCUGCAUUUAUAAUGGCGUUAAAUAUAUUUUAAAAAGUGGGGGAGGAUGGUCACAC